Molecule: microRNA precursor, 205 nt
Filed under: Oryza barthii
Lineage: Eukaryota; Viridiplantae; Streptophyta; Magnoliopsida; Poales; Poaceae
Description: MIR812 microRNA precursor family
Rfam family: MIR812 microRNA precursor family
Source: Rfam by way of RNAcentral
AAAAAGGCAAACUCUAGAUUUCUGUGUCCAACUUUAACUAUCCGUCUUAUAUGAAAUUUUUUUAUAAUUUAAAUUUUGAUUGUUGUUAGAUGAUAAAACAUGAUUAAUAUUUUAUGCGUAACUUGUCUUUUUAAUUUUUUUUAUAAUUUUUUCAAAUAAGACGGACGGUCAAAAGUUGGACACGGAAACCAGGGUUUGUCUUUUU